GCCGGCGUAGCUCAGUUGGUAGAGCAGCUGAUUCGUAAUCAGCAGGUCAGCGGUUCGAGUCCGCUCGCCGGCU
This 73-nucleotide transfer RNA is filed under the name Acidobacteriota bacterium. RNAcentral describes it as "Acidobacteria bacterium (sponge metagenome) tRNA-Thr". It matches the Rfam family "tRNA". Rfam says of the family: Transfer RNA (tRNA) molecules are approximately 80 nucleotides in length. Their secondary structure includes four short double-helical elements and three loops (D, anti-codon, and T loops). RNAcentral also lists the same sequence under 3 other names. Lineage: Bacteria; Pseudomonadati; Acidobacteriota. The record is from RNAcentral.